GUCACCCUUGGGGUUGACAGCGUCAACAGAUUCAGUACUGGUGCUUACGGAUCGCGUUAUAAGCCUAUGUGCCUUACAUUCAGACUACGAUACCCGAGACGAUACCUCGACACCAGCUCGUAGGAAAUGGUUCAGCGCCACUGCUUUGGUUCAUCAGAGUUAUAGCGAAAAUCGGUCAACGGACGCAUGUAGCAUUUUUGUUUCAGAUUUCAUCAGCAACCUCUGGAUCGCGGUUGAUGUUUAUUUACGGAGCUGGAGCUGCAUAAAUUAAAUAUGUUUACCCUUAUACUAAUAGAAAAAAAUGUAUCUGAGAGCUAUUUGAUUUUUUUUGCUGCCGUCGCAAGCAUAAUUGUCCUAUUUAUGUUGAUAUGGACUUCAUAUCAUAUCAAUAUGAGAUAGUUAUGCUUGUGGCCUUUAUUCAAAACAAAAUUUCUUCGUGAUGAGAAAUUUCAAU
Armigeres subalbatus is the source of this 454-nucleotide long non-coding RNA. RefSeq lists it as uncharacterized. The record is from RefSeq and is a predicted model, not a curated record. NCBI's taxonomy places the organism in Eukaryota, Metazoa, Arthropoda, Insecta, Diptera, Culicidae. The transcript is spliced from 3 exons.